Molecule: ribosomal RNA, 321 nt
Filed under: uncultured Pseudomonadota bacterium
Lineage: Bacteria; Pseudomonadati; Pseudomonadota
Description: bacterial SSU rRNA
Rfam family: Bacterial small subunit ribosomal RNA
Source: RNAcentral
AUUGAACGCUGGCGGCAUGCCUUACACAUGCAAGUCGAACGGCAGCACGGACUUCGGUCUGGUGGCGAGUGGCGAACGGGUGAGUAAUGCAUCGGAACGUACCUUUCAGUGGGGGAUAACUAUCCGAAAGGAUAGCUAAUACCGCAUAUUCUGUGAGCAGGAAAGCAGGGGAUCGCAAGACCUUGCGCUGAUUGAGCGGCCGAUGUCAGAUUAGCUAGUUGGUGAGGUAAAGGCUCACCAAGGCGACGAUCUGUAGCGGGUCUGAGAGGAUGAUCCGCCACACUGGAACUGAGACACGGUCCAGACUCCUACGGGUGGCAG